CUGUACAGUGGAGAAGUGUCGAAGUGCCUGUAGCCAAUCUUUAUCGCCUCCAGGACCGCCGUCUUCAUCGUGGCUUCAUCGAAGGGGUCCGCCGCUGUCCCCAUGCCUAUUACNUAUGACCGGCUUUGCCCGGUGGCCGUAGUAGGAAGCCAGUGUCAUUUUCGGUGUUUCUGGUGCGUUGUCCAUGUCUUGAAGAGAGAAUCUUGCAAGAUUG
Molecule: unclassified non-coding RNA, 214 nt
Filed under: Hevea brasiliensis (rubber tree)
Lineage: Eukaryota; Viridiplantae; Streptophyta; Magnoliopsida; Malpighiales; Euphorbiaceae
Source: RNAcentral